UUGUCCUUAGACUUCACAGAGCUUGACUUAGGUGAGUAGUGUACUUCUUUCUACAAUGAAAUAGACUUCACAGAGCUUGACUUAGGCCAUUGUGAUCGCUCUGAGGCGCACUGCAGCUAACAGGUUAUGAGCCCUGCGCUCUGACUGCCUCAAGACAUCCAAACUCGCCUGUCCAAACGCUCUGUGGCCUCUCCUAGCCCCCAUCCCUCUGC
Molecule: long non-coding RNA, 212 nt
Filed under: Ganoderma lucidum
Lineage: Eukaryota; Fungi; Basidiomycota; Agaricomycetes; Polyporales; Polyporaceae
Description: long non-coding RNA (GLUC_LNC000045)
Source: RNAcentral